Non-coding RNA from Pelobates cultripes (western spadefoot toad), 251 nucleotides. The record is from the annotation of a GenBank genome assembly. Lineage: Eukaryota; Metazoa; Chordata; Amphibia; Anura; Pelobatidae.
CAUAUAAAAAAAGACAACGCUGUUCCGCAGAGUAGCUGUUGACAUUAUAGUUGCGCAGGAACUUUGAUGACUCUAGAAAACCUCGCGCAAAACGCACAUCCCCAUGGCUGGGACUUUGCAUGCGGAUGUCAUCCAUAUCAACUUUCGAUGACAAUUUCUGCGCCUACCAUGGUGAGCACGGGUAACGGGGAAUCAGGGUUCCAUUCCGUACAGGGACCCUGAGAAACGGCUACCACAUGCAAGGAAGGCAG